UCAACUGUGAAAUGGGAGGGGCGUGGAAAACAAACGUAGUAUCUGUUCCUAUGGGUUAAAGCAUCGAAUGAGGUCUCCAUCUAUGUUCAGGGCAUUAAAUUAAUAUUUGGAAUUGGGAGAUGGUUUGGGAGCUUGCUCUAUCCUCUCCAUGCCUCAGCAUGUAAUUGCAAUGCUUUCAAGAAUGGUGCAUUCCUU
Small nuclear RNA from Saimiri boliviensis boliviensis (Bolivian squirrel monkey), 195 nucleotides. Its record names the gene U2. It matches the Rfam family "U2 spliceosomal RNA". From Rfam's summary of the family: U2 is a small nuclear RNA (snRNA) component of the spliceosome (involved in pre-mRNA splicing). Complementary binding between U2 snRNA (in an area lying towards the 5' end but 3' to hairpin I) and the branchpoint sequence (BPS) of the intron results the bulging out of an unpaired adenosine, on the BPS, which initiates a nucleophilic attack at the intronic 5' splice site, thus starting the first of two transesterification reactions that mediate splicing. The record is from Ensembl. Lineage: Eukaryota; Metazoa; Chordata; Mammalia; Primates; Cebidae.